GCAAACUUGGUCAUUUAGAGGAAGUAAAAGUCGUAACAAGGUUUCCGUAGGUGAACCUGCGGAAGGAUCAUUACAGUGCUCGUCGGGACGUCGCGCCCCCUUUAGGCGUGGGCGUCUCGCACCUGCCCAACCGUGUCUACCGUUUCCCUUGUUGCCUCGGCGGGACCGCCGGGCAGGAGGCCGCCUCACCGUGGGCGGGGCUCCUGCGCACGGCACCCCGCGUCACCCGACGCGGCGCCCGCCAGAGGGACCCUUCUGAAACCUGUUGAAUCUAGUGUCGUCUGAGUUGCCUAGUGAAAUACAGUUAAAACUUUCAACAACGGAUCUCUUGGUUCUGGCAUCGAUGAAGAACGCAGC
This 357-nucleotide unclassified non-coding RNA is filed under the name uncultured fungus. RNAcentral's name for it is "partial contains small subunit ribosomal RNA, internal transcribed spacer 1, and 5.8S ribosomal RNA". The stretch from base 1 to 73 matches the Rfam family "Eukaryotic small subunit ribosomal RNA", at positions 1759 to 1831 of the family's 1831-position model. The record is from RNAcentral. Lineage: Eukaryota; Fungi.